AGCUUUGCACAGUGGCAGUAUCGCAGCCCAUGAGGUUUAUCCGAGGCACGAUUAUUGUUAAUUGAAAUCAUACUGAAGUUCAGUAUGAUCUAUGUCUUCACUGUCUGAUACCUUUUAUUUUGUUUUUGCUGCUGCUGAUGUCAAUCUAUUUUCUAAUAACAAAUUAUUUUU
RNAcentral lists this small nuclear RNA (171 nucleotides) under Mustela putorius furo (domestic ferret). RNAcentral describes it as "U4 spliceosomal RNA". The stretch from base 1 to 74 matches the Rfam family "U4 spliceosomal RNA". Lineage: Eukaryota; Metazoa; Chordata; Mammalia; Carnivora; Mustelidae. The record is from Rfam by way of RNAcentral.